GGGGCAGCAUUUUAGUUUGCUUGCAAACUAAAGAUGGCGACCGGCGCACGGGUGAGUAACACGUAUCCAACCUGCCGAUAACUCGGGGAUAGCCUUUCGAAAGAAAGAUUAAUAUCCGAUGGUAUAUUAAAACCGCAUGGUUUUACUAUUAAAGAAUUUCGGUUAUCGAUGGGGAUGCGUUCCAUUAGUUUGUUGGCGGGGUAACGGCCCACCAAGACUACGAUGGAUAGGGGUUCUGAGAGGAAGGUCCCCCACAUUGGAACUGAGACACGGUCCAAACUCCUACGGGAGGCAGCAGUGAGGAAUAUUGGUCAAUGGACGAGAGUCUGAACCAGCCAAGUAGCGUGAAGGAUGACUGCCCUAUGGGUUGUAAACUUCUUUUAUAUGGGAAUAAAGUAUUCCACGUGUGGGAUUUUGUAUGUACCAUAUGAAUAAGGAUCGGCUAACUCCGUGCCAGCAGCCGCGGUAAUACGGAGGAUCCGAGCGUUAUCCGGAUUUAUUGGGUUUAAAGGGAGCGUAGGUGGAUUGUUAAGUCAGUUGUGAAAGUUUGCGGCUCAACCGUAAAAUUGCAGUUGAAACUGGCAGUCUUGAGUACAGUAGAGGUGGGCGGAAUUCGUGGUGUAGCGGUGAAAUGCUUAGAUAUCACGAAGAACUCCGAUUGCGAAGGCAGCUCACUAGACUGCAACUGACACUGAUGCUCGAAAGUGUGGGUAUCAAACAGGAUUAGAUACCCUGGUAGUCCACACAGUAAACGAUGAAUACUCGCUGUUUGCGAUAUACAGUAAGCGGCCAAGCGAAAGCAUUAAGUAUUCCACCUGGGGAGUACGCCG
This 830-nucleotide ribosomal RNA is filed under the name Bacteroides sp. HGA0134. RNAcentral's name for it is "bacterial SSU rRNA". It matches the Rfam family "Bacterial small subunit ribosomal RNA", at positions 66 to 887 of the family's 1533-position model. The record is from RNAcentral. Lineage: Bacteria; Pseudomonadati; Bacteroidota; Bacteroidia; Bacteroidales; Bacteroidaceae.